This 280-nucleotide unclassified non-coding RNA is filed under the name Hevea brasiliensis (rubber tree). The record is from RNAcentral. Lineage: Eukaryota; Viridiplantae; Streptophyta; Magnoliopsida; Malpighiales; Euphorbiaceae.
GCAUCAAAUGAAAAGAAGAUAAAUGGGGAGCAUGAUUUCUUAAUGGCAGAAUUCGCUGAGGUUUCUCAACGUGGAAAAGACAAUGGAAAUGUUGACCCCACUUCUAAGAUUUCUCUUAAAACGGUGGCAAAGAAGGUAGGGCCCCUGAUUUCCAAUGAGGGAGCUGCAUCCACAUCUGGAAUUGCUUCACAGACAGCAUCCGGGGUACUUUCAGGUUCGGGCGUAUUAAAUGCUAGACCAGGGAGUGCAACAUCCUCUGGACUUCUUUCGCACAUGGUUU